GUAACCAUAGUAUAGUGGUUAUCAUAUCUGCUUUAUAUGCAGAAGGUCCUGAGUUCAAGCCUCAGUAGAACCA
RNAcentral lists this transfer RNA (73 nucleotides) under Scleropages formosus (Asian bonytongue). It matches the Rfam family "tRNA". From Rfam's summary of the family: Transfer RNA (tRNA) molecules are approximately 80 nucleotides in length. Their secondary structure includes four short double-helical elements and three loops (D, anti-codon, and T loops). Further hydrogen bonds mediate the characteristic L-shaped molecular structure. tRNAs have two regions of fundamental functional importance: the anti-codon, which is responsible for specific mRNA codon recognition, and the 3' end, to which the tRNAs corresponding amino acid is attached (by aminoacyl-tRNA synthetases). tRNAs cope with the degeneracy of the genetic code in two manners: having more than one tRNA (with a specific anti-codon) for a particular amino acid; and 'wobble' base-pairing, i.e. permitting non-standard base-pairing at the 3rd anti-codon position. The record is from Rfam by way of RNAcentral. Lineage: Eukaryota; Metazoa; Chordata; Actinopteri; Osteoglossiformes; Osteoglossidae.